This 604-nucleotide long non-coding RNA is filed under the name Notechis scutatus (mainland tiger snake). Its description in RNAcentral is "lncRNA (ENSNSUG00000005324.1)". The record is from RNAcentral. Lineage: Eukaryota; Metazoa; Chordata; Lepidosauria; Squamata; Elapidae.
CCCCGCCGUAAGGCCGAAAGGAGUAAAAUGGCUGCUUCAGAGGCCGGGCCCGAACACUUUCGACGGCGAUCGCCGCGCCUCCUGGUUUUGUGUUGAGGUGGGCGGGCGGAAGGGCCUAGUUUCCCGGUGGAACCGGCUUCUAGGAUUUCUACUGCUGCAGACAUGGAAGAGGAGAACCAGCACUCACCAGUCAGGGAGGGUUCGGCACAUAGUGGUGAGAAGCCAGCCAGCGAACCUUCCCUUGAUUCGGAUUGGGACCAAUCAGGCACCCUCUGUAUUGGCCACAUUAUCAUUUUGGCUUUGCAGCAGGCUGUGGGCAGUGGCUUAGCAGGGGAACUGAAAGAUCCGGCGAGUGAGAAAGAUGCAGACUGCAAGUGCACAAGUCAAAGUAAAUGGUGUUGGAAUUCUAGAACUGAAGGUUUUGGAGGAAGCUGGCUGGGAACUGGGGACUUUGCCUUGGCCUAUGAUAGAAAUGAUCCAAUGGGUGAGGUUUUUCAGGCUCCUUCUUCUGGUAUAAUGCCUGCCUUGGCUGGAAUAUUGAAUUAUCUGGACUGGCCAUAUCAUAUGCCCCGGGAAGUCGAGAGCUCUACAGAUGCCCAGGCGG